AGGGUUUGAUCAUGGCUCAGAUUGAACGCUGGCGGAAUGCUUUACACAUGCAAGUCGAACGGCAGCACGGAGAGCUUGCUCUCUGGUGGCGAGUGGCGAACGGGUGAGUAAUAUAUCGGAACGUAUCCAAUAAUGGGGGAUAACGAGUCGAAAGAUUCGCUAAUACCGCAUACGCCCUACGGGGGAAAGCAGGGGAUCGUAAGACCUUGCGUUAAUGGAGCGGCCGAUAUCUGAUUAGCUUGUUGGUGAGGUAAAGGCUCACCAAGGCGACGAUCAGUAGCUGGUUUGAGAGAACGACCAGCCACACUGGAACUGAGACACGGUCCAGACUCCUACGGGAGGCAGCAGUGGGGAAUUUUGGACAAUGGGGGCAACCCUGAUCCAGCCAUUCCGCGUGAGUGAAGAAGGCCUUCGGGUUGUAAAGCUCUUUCGCAAGGGAAGAAAACUUAUGAUCGAAUAAAUCAUGAGGUUGACGGUACCUUGAUAAGAAGCACCGGCUAACUACGUGCCAGCCGCCGCGGUAAUACA
RNAcentral lists this ribosomal RNA (528 nucleotides) under uncultured Methylophilus sp. RNAcentral's name for it is "bacterial SSU rRNA". It matches the Rfam family "Bacterial small subunit ribosomal RNA", at positions 8 to 527 of the family's 1533-position model. The record is from RNAcentral. Lineage: Bacteria; Pseudomonadati; Pseudomonadota; Betaproteobacteria; Nitrosomonadales; Methylophilaceae.